This 253-nucleotide ribosomal RNA is filed under the name uncultured bacterium. Its description in RNAcentral is "partial 16S ribosomal RNA". It matches the Rfam family "Bacterial small subunit ribosomal RNA", at positions 524 to 776 of the family's 1533-position model. The record is from RNAcentral.
UACGUAGGUGGCAAGCGUUGUCCGGAAUUAUUGGGCGUAAAGCGCGCGCAGGCGGUCCUUUACGUCUGAUGUGAAAGCCCACGGCUCAACCGUGGAGGGUCAUUGGAAACUGGAGGACUUGAGUACAGAAGAGGAAAGCGGAAUUCCACGUGUAGCGGUGAAAUGCGUAGAGAUGUGGAGGAACACCAGUGGCGAAGGCGGCUUUCUGGUCUGUAACUGACGCUGAGGCGCGAAAGCGUGGGGAGCAAACAGG